UUAGUGUCAAUGAUGGUAUUAAAUAUACUAUGAGUUAACAGCUGUGAACACAACCUAAAACUGAGGCACCUA
Papaver somniferum (opium poppy) is the source of this 72-nucleotide small nucleolar RNA. The record is from RefSeq and is a predicted model, not a curated record. Lineage: Eukaryota; Viridiplantae; Streptophyta; Magnoliopsida; Ranunculales; Papaveraceae.